ACGCUCGACACCUACGGGAGGCUGCAGUGGGGAAUAUUGCACAAUGGGGGAAACCCUGAUGCAGCAACGCCGCGUGAAGGAAGACGGUUUUCGGAUUGUAAACUUCUGUUCUUAGUGAAGAUAGUGACGGUAGCUAAGGAGCAAGCCACGGCUAACUACGUGCCAGUAGCCGCGGUAAUCUGAGGCGGGCGUGGCAAGGC
RNAcentral lists this ribosomal RNA (200 nucleotides) under uncultured bacterium. RNAcentral describes it as "partial 16S ribosomal RNA". It matches the Rfam family "Bacterial small subunit ribosomal RNA", at positions 328 to 538 of the family's 1533-position model. The record is from RNAcentral.